Molecule: ribosomal RNA, 1232 nt
Filed under: Catenula turgida
Lineage: Eukaryota; Metazoa; Platyhelminthes; Catenulidae
Description: eukaryotic LSU rRNA
Rfam family: Eukaryotic large subunit ribosomal RNA
Source: RNAcentral
AUGGAUGGCGCUGGAAGUAACUGCGAGUGAAGAGGGACAAGCCCAGCACCGAAUCCCUCGGCAUCAGCUGACGGGAAGUGUGGUGUUCAGUGUGGGUUACGCCUGGCUGAAACUUCACCCAAGUCCUAUUGACCGAGGCUCGAUGGCCCAAAGUGGGUGUCAGGCCUUUAGUGGCGAAGGCUCGGUUAGGAUAAUUCACACGAAGAGUCGGGUUGUUUGUGAGUACAACCCAAAUCAGGUGGUAAACUCCAUCUAAGGCUAAAUAUCAGUACGAGUCCGAUAGCAAACAAGUACCGUGAGGGAAAGUUGAAAAGAACUCUGAAGAGAGAGUUCAAGAGUACGUGAAACCGCUAGGAGGGAAGCGGAUGACGCCACAAGGUUGCCGCUUGGAUUCAGUUCGAUGUAUUUUGCCAAGGUGGGUCUGUCGCAUUUGCUGCGAGGCAGGUGGGCAGGUUUACUUAGGUGAGGUACAUCGGGCGCAUUUCUGAGCGUGCGAUGAGCCACGACCAGUUCGUAAGCUCCUAGAGGUGGGUGAGAUCGGUGCACAAAUGGGGUUCAACUUGGGCUUCAUUUUGUGUCUGGUAACGCUCAUUCAUAGGUAUGGUUAUGGACUGAGGACAGCAGCUCUCAGCUGAAGCGGUAUAAGCCACUUGCGGGGCAUGCUGCGGGCUCGGGUUGGGUGCAGGUGUUGGGGACUGCAUUGCAGUGCUUGAUAUCUGUGUUUGACCGUCUGGGUUCGCGCUUGCCGAGAGCGUUUUUACGCCGCUGUUCUGUGGCCAGUUGGCUACUCAUCCGUCCCGUCUUGAAACACGGACCAAGGAGUUGAACAUGCAGGCGAGUCUGAGGGUAGAGCAAAACCCGAAGGCGAAGUGAAAGCAAAGUCUGCCGUAAGGUAGAUGUGAUGGGAUCCCGGAUGGCUUAACGGUCACCGGGCGCACCAUCGUCUCGUUGCGUUCUCGUGUAGAUGCGGCGACGACUGAGCCUGCACGCUCGGACCCGAAAGAUGGUGACCUAUGCCGGAGCAGGGCGAAAUCAGAGGAAACUCUGGUGGAAGCCCGAAGCGAUUCUAACGUGCAAAUUGAUCGUCUGACUUCGGUAUAGGGGCGAAAGACUAAUCGAACCAUCUAGUAGCUGGUUCCCUCCGAAGUUUCCCUCAGGAUAGCUGGCGCUCGUGAUCGGAGGCAGUAGUACCCGGUAAAGCGAAUGAUUAGAGUGUUUUGGGUCGAAACGAU